GACGAACGCUGGCGGCGUGCUUAACACAUGCAAGUCGAACGGAAAGGCCCUGCUUUUGUGGGGUGCUCGAGUGGCGAACGGGUGAGUAACACGUGAGUAACCUGCCCUUGACUUUGGGAUAACUUCAGGAAACUGGGGCUAAUACCGGAUAGGAGCUCCUGCUGCAUGGUGGGGGUUGGAAAGUUUCGGCGGUUGGGGAUGGACUCGCGGCUUAUCAGCUUGUUGGUGGGGUAGUGGCUUACCAAGGCUUUGACGGGUAGCCGGCCUGAGAGGGUGACCGGCCACAUUGGGACUGAGAUACGGCCCAGCCUCCUACGGGAGGCAGCAGUGGGGAAUAUUGUACAAUGGGCGGAAGCCUGAUGCAGCAACGCCGCGUGCGGGAUGACGGCCUUCGGGUUGUAAACCGCUUUCGCCUGUGACGAAGCGUGAGUGACGGUAAUGGGUAAAGAAGCACCGGCUAACUCCGUG
Molecule: ribosomal RNA, 468 nt
Filed under: uncultured bacterium
Lineage: Bacteria
Description: partial 16S ribosomal RNA
Rfam family: Bacterial small subunit ribosomal RNA
Source: RNAcentral